Molecule: RNA transcript, 1618 nt
Organism: Spodoptera frugiperda (fall armyworm)
Lineage: Eukaryota; Metazoa; Arthropoda; Insecta; Lepidoptera; Noctuidae
Gene: Pdxk
Gene name: pyridoxal kinase
Exons: 6
Source: RefSeq, a predicted model, not a curated record
UUAUGUCAACGAUGAAGAAGUGCGCGCAGUUCUUAUCUUAUCAUUUCUCUAUUUGAGAAAUACCUAAUUAUAGUUAGUUGUUUAUGAUCGAGCGGCCGUGAGCAGACAUUAGUUGUUUCAUAAUUCGAUUCAGUCCUCUGGCACGUCGCGGUCUGUGUCGCACGCCUGUUUGGAAGCAGUUACUAUUUUAUUGAGUGUUUUAGUGUAUAUUCUCAAGAAUCAUGUCUUCUGAUAGCCCAAGAGUAUUAUCAAUCCAAAGCCAUGUAGUACAUGGAUAUGUUGGCAAUAAAAGUGCUGUAUUUCCACUGCAGGUGUUAGGUUUUGAAGUAGAUUAUAUCAAUACUGUCCAAUUCUCAACACAUACAGCCUACAAACAUAUAAAAGGACAAAGUUUAAAAAAUGAAGAGUUAGAUGAGCUUAUAGAAGGGUUGACUUUGAACGAAGUAGACUACUACACUCAUUUCCUAACUGGCUACUCGAGAUCACCUGAUUCAUUGAAGAAAAUCGUAGAAAUUCUCAAAAAGUUAAGGGAAAAGAACCCUAAUCUAAACUAUGUAUGUGACCCUGUAAUGGGUGACAAUGGAAAAAUGUACGUGCCAGAGGAUAUUCUGCCAGUAUACCGCGACGUCGUGGUUCCAUUAGCUGACGUCAUCACGCCGAACCAGUACGAGGCAGAAUUGAUCACAGGAAUGAAAAUGAACAGCCUAGAAGAUGCUAUGAAGAUAAUUGAUGCUCUGCACAAGAAGGGACCUAAAACUGUUGUGCUGUCGAGCACAGAACUUGGUGAUGACAAAUGUAUGAUUGGGCUUGCUAGCACUGCGGGAGUUCAGUACGAGAUUAGUAUUCCGAAGGUGGACGCCGCGUUCACGGGGACUGGUGACUUGUUUGCAUCGCUGUUCCUAGCGUGGUGGCACAAGACGAAUAACAACUUGAAACUCACGCUGGAAAACACGAUAUCCACGCUACAAAUCAUUGUCAAAGAUACAUAUCAGAAAGCUAGAGAUAAACAGCCUACUGGCAAGAUUCCACCACAACUGAGAGAGUUACGCAUCAUUCAGAACAAGAACUUCAUUGAAAACCCAAAGAUUACCAUUAGUGCAAAACAGCUAAGUAGUUAAAUCCAUAUUAGUUUAUUACUAGCAAAAAUGGGAUGAAUUUUCUAUAUAUAUCUGUUACUAUUGUACCUACAAGAUGAUAACAAUGUUGGUCAUAUCGUCGCCCUCCCCGCUAACUGUCGUAUCUCACAAACCGACGUAUCUGCACUGACAUUUAAUAGAUACCUUAGGGCUUUAGGGCGACUACAAAAUUAAAAAUAAGCCAAGACCUAUAUAAAAAAAAACUUUUUAAUUCAUUAAUAAAGCCACAAAUAACGCAUCUACAGUAAUUUAACUGUAACGCCCGACCGAAAAACGGUUGCCCUGGAAAAACAUCAAUUGGUAGUUAGGACAGUUAGCCGGGAGGGUGACGAUAUAAGCAUUAAUCUUAUGGUUCAGAUAUAUCUUUUGGUUCAGAUAAGCAUUAAUCUUCAAUGUCUCCGUGUUAUAGGAAAGUGCUUAAAUGUGACGCAUUUGUUAAAUAUUAAAUAAGUAAUUUCAUUCUAGUAAAAUUUAUAGUCGCG